Molecule: non-coding RNA, 29 nt
Filed under: Mus musculus (house mouse)
Lineage: Eukaryota; Metazoa; Chordata; Mammalia; Rodentia; Muridae
Source: RNAcentral
UGACUAUGACUCUGGUAUUCAACCUUGGG